RNAcentral lists this ribosomal RNA (435 nucleotides) under uncultured bacterium. RNAcentral describes it as "bacterial SSU rRNA". It matches the Rfam family "Bacterial small subunit ribosomal RNA", at positions 355 to 786 of the family's 1533-position model. The record is from RNAcentral.
UGAGGAAUAUUGGUCAAUGGACGAGAGUCUGAACCAGCCAAGUAGCGUGAAGGAUGACUGCCCUAUGGGUUGUAAACUUCUUUUAUACGGGAAUAAAGUUCAGCACGUGUGCUGUUUUGUAUGUACCGUAUGAAUAAGGAUCGGCUAACUCCGUGCCAGCAGCCGCGGUAAUACGGAGGAUCCGAGCGUUAUCCGGAUUUAUUGGGUUUAAAGGGAGCGUAGAUGGGUUGUUAAGUCAGUUGUGAAAGUUCGCGGCUCAACCGUAAAAUUGCAAUUGAUACUGGCGUCCUUGAGUACAGUUGAGGUGGGCGGAAUUCGUGGUGUAGCGGUGAAAUGCUUAGAUAUCACGAAGAACUCCGAUUGCGAAGGCAGCCUGCUGGACUGUAACUGACGCUGAUGCUCGAAAGUGUGGGGUAUCAAACAGGAUUAGAUACC